AGGAUAAACGCUGGCGGCGUGCCUAACACAUGCAAGUCGAACGCUCUUUUGCUCGCAAGAGCCAGAGGGAGUGGCGGACGGGUGAGUAACACAUGGGUAACCUACCCCCAGUGAGGAAUACCGGCGAGAAAUCGCCGACAAGACCGCAUAGGCUCGGUCCGGUGAAGCGGAGCGAGCAAAGUCUCGCAAGAGACGCUGAGGGAUGGGCCUGUGGCCGAUUAGCUAGUUGGUAAGGUAAAGGCUUACCAAGGCGACGAUCGGUAGCUGGUCUGAGAGGACGAACAGCCACACUGGGGAUUGAGAACGGCCCAGACUCCUACGGGGGGCAGCAGUGAGGAAUUUUCCGCAAUGGACGCAAGUCUGACGGAGCAACGCCGCGUGCAGGAGGACGCUUUUCGAAGUGUAAACUGCUUUUCUGUGGGACGAGAGUGGACGGUACCACAGGAAGAGCCCCGGCUAACGUACGUGCCAGCAGCCGC
This 479-nucleotide ribosomal RNA is filed under the name uncultured bacterium. RNAcentral describes it as "SSU rRNA". It matches the Rfam family "Bacterial small subunit ribosomal RNA", at positions 26 to 518 of the family's 1533-position model. The record is from RNAcentral.